GUGGUUGUGAUACUUCAAAAGUUGGCAAAAAAGAAAAAAAAUAGAAAGAAAAUAAAAUAAAAUAAAAUAAAUGGAAAAAGAAAAGAAGGAUGACAAUACAUAUUCUUUCAGGGGGAAAAUUAAAUGAUAAAAGAGAAGAUAAAUAGUUGCAAUGUGUUGUUUGAAAAUGAAUGAAGUUUUUGAUAGUUCAACUCCUACAGUUUUUUUUUUCAAUUUUCUUUUGACCCUUUGAAUUUUAGCCUAGUACCCCUUAGAAUUU
RNAcentral lists this long non-coding RNA (259 nucleotides) under Lathyrus oleraceus (garden pea). Its description in RNAcentral is "Pisum sativum (pea) long non-coding RNA (PSAT_LNC013930)". Lineage: Eukaryota; Viridiplantae; Streptophyta; Magnoliopsida; Fabales; Fabaceae. The record is from RNAcentral.